RNAcentral lists this ribosomal RNA (254 nucleotides) under uncultured bacterium. Its description in RNAcentral is "partial small subunit ribosomal RNA". It matches the Rfam family "Bacterial small subunit ribosomal RNA", at positions 26 to 285 of the family's 1533-position model. The record is from RNAcentral.
AGGACGAACGCUGGCGGCGUGCUUAACACAUGCAAGUCGAGCGGAAAGGCCCUUCGGGGUACUCGAGCGGCGAACGGGUGAGUAACACGUGAGCAACCUGCCCCUGGCUCUGGGAUAGCCUCCGGAAACGGGGAUUAAUACCGGAUAUUCACUGCUCCCUGCAUGGGGGGUGGUGGAAAGUUUUUCGGCUAGGGUGGGGCUCGCGGCCUAUCAGCUUGUUGGGGGGUGACGGCCCACCAAGGCGACGACGGGUA